This 253-nucleotide ribosomal RNA is filed under the name uncultured bacterium. Its description in RNAcentral is "partial 16S ribosomal RNA". It matches the Rfam family "Bacterial small subunit ribosomal RNA", at positions 524 to 776 of the family's 1533-position model. The record is from RNAcentral.
UACGUAGGGGGCAAGCGUUGUCCGGAUUUAUUGGGCGUAAAGAGCGUGUAGGCGGCUAGGUAGGUCCGUUGUGAAAACUCGAGGCUCAACCUCGAGACGUCGAUGGAAACCAUCUAGCUAGAGUCCGGAAGAGGAGAGUGGAAUUCCUGGUGUAGCGGUGAAAUGCGCAGAUAUCAGGAAGAACACCCGUGGCGAAGGCGGCUCUCUGGUACGUGACUGACACUGAGACGCGAAAGCGUGGGGAGCGAACAGG